RNAcentral lists this long non-coding RNA (309 nucleotides) under Elaeis guineensis (African oil palm). RNAcentral describes it as "long non-coding RNA (EGUI_LNC080755)". The record is from RNAcentral. Lineage: Eukaryota; Viridiplantae; Streptophyta; Magnoliopsida; Arecales; Arecaceae.
CUAACUAAUUUUUAAUUAGAUGGGACCUAAUUAGAUUCAUAAUUGAGCUAGGAUCCAAUUAGUUAGUUUGUUAUAACUAAUUUUUAAAUUACUUAGGAUUGGAUCAAAAAUUAGUUAGAAGUUGAAAAAAAUCUUGAGUCCUAUUUAGAAUAGGACUUGACCAACUUGAAAACCCCAUGUGAUAUUUGUUUCUCACGCCACACCUCUCUUCACCGUGAGAAAAUUUCCUACACCCCAUAUGAGGCACCCACUUUCUUUCUUCCAUGGAAUAUAGGCAUCCCUUUUCACUUUUUUUCUUAUCGCCCAAAU